Long non-coding RNA from Oncorhynchus nerka (sockeye salmon), 2624 nucleotides. RefSeq lists it as uncharacterized. NCBI's taxonomy places the organism in Eukaryota, Metazoa, Chordata, Actinopteri, Salmoniformes, Salmonidae. The record is from RefSeq and is a predicted model, not a curated record. The transcript is spliced from 6 exons.
UGACUCCAUUCCAGCCAUUAUUAUGAGCCGUCCUCCCCUCAGCAGCCUCCACUGAUAUAGUUAUGUCUGUCAUAUUGAGGUAUCUAUCUAUAAGUUAAACCUGAUAAAUCAAAUGGAUAGGUGUAAGCAAUUAUGGUAAUUCCAAAUGUCACGGCCCCUCUGCAGUGCAGAGGAGGGUCGUUAGUGAUUGGAGUCACCUGGGCUCAGGGUAUUUAAACUGCUUCACUAAUCACUCUUCUCUCUCUGCUCCUCCAGGUACGAUCCUGGUUGUUUGUUCAUUUGUAGUUUUACUUACUUUUACUUAAUAUUUCAUAUUCACACACACAGAUUCAUGCAUCCUUGCACUUUACAUACACCUUACAUUAUGAUAUUCACACCUCAUUUCUUUGUUUAAAGUUAAUAGUUUUGGUUUACAAUAAAGAACCUUUUUGAUUGGCCUAUACCGGUUGUUCGUGUCCCCUCAUUUUUGCCACAGGCUAUGAGCCGGCCUGUGACACAAAUGUACUUCGACUUGAGUAUUUCAACAACUCUUCUCUUCCAACUUGUUAGGCAAUCAUAUAGGAGGGUGAUUUUUACUAAGGAGGAGAAGGAGGCCGUGCUGACCGCUGCAUGGUGGCAAUUUCGGGGGGGAAGUGCAUGAUUGCCAAAAUCAACCUACACUUCUUCUGAUGGGGAAUUGUCUUUAAAAAAAAAUUGCCCUUUCUCCCCAAUUUCGUGGUAUCCAAUUGUUAGUAGCUACUAUCUUGUCUCAUCGCUACAACUCCCGUACGGGCUCGGGAGAGACGAAGGUUGAAAGUCAUGCGUCCUCCGAUACACAACCCAACCAAGCAGCACUGCUUCUUAAAACAGCGCGCAUCCAACCCGGAAGCCAGCCGCACCAAUGUGUCGGAGGAAACACCGUGCACCUGGCAACCUUGGUUAGCGUGCACUGCACCCGGCCCGCCACAGGAGUCGCUGGUGCGCGAUGAGACAAGGAUAUCCCUACCGGCCAAACCCUCCCUAAUCCGGACGACGCUAGGCCAAUUGUGCGUCGCCCCAUGGACCUCUCCAGUUACGACAGAGCCUGGGCGCAAACCCGGGGUCUCUGGUGGCACAGCUGGCGCUGCUGUACAGCGCCCUUAACCACUGCGCCACCCGGGAGGCCCCCUAAUGGGGAAUUGUCAAGGAGGUGGACAGCUGGGCAAGAGAAGUUACCUUUUGUUUAUCAAUCACAUUCUAUUAUAUCUGAAAUUAUUAUGAUUUCAAUUAAUGUCAUUUCAGAGAGCACAUAAUGUUUCAAUUUGUCACUUUUGCUUAAAGGUCAGUACUCUGUCUACUUGCCAGAAGUUUGAGAGGGCGAAGACUGUCGCGCCGGACUUGAAGCCCAUCGAAGUUGUUACACCAUGGCACAUGAUCGGGGUGGACCUUAUCGGACCCUUCACUGAAUCCAGCAAUGGCAACAGCUGGUGUCUGACGGCGACCGAUCACUUUACCAAGUGGUUGGAGGCAAUAUCCAUUAAGUUCAGUAAAGGAAGAGUAUGUGCUUAAAUCUAAAUUCUCUUCUGUAACUCAUUAAAAAGGGUUCUUGGAACCAAAAAUAGAUUUUUGUUUUGCAUGAUAUACCCAUCAAGGACGAAACUGGCAAGGCCAUCUCCAAGGCAAUGAUGGACAUCUUCAACACCCUCGGUUCUCCUGAGGUCAUCUUGAGUGACCAAGGUUAGGAACGCAGGAACAAGGUUUGGUGAAUGGACCAACCAGACCCUCAAGACUGCCAUGGGCAAGUCCCUUGAUUGGUACCAGGAAGGGUGGGCGAACAACCUGCAUGUAAUUCUCUUUGAACACAACAGCAGCAUCCAGGCCUCCACUGACUACGGACUGGGGGCUGCAGCUGUUGACUGAGAUCACUGAAACUCCACCUGAUGUGGUGGAAGUUGUCGAACCAGAUCAGAACACCUUCGAGGACCACCUUCAGGCACGGGCUGAGAAGGAUGUGGAUGUUUCUGACCAGGUGACUUAACAUGGACAAGACGCAGGAGAAACAGAAGGAGAACUACCGGAGCAGAAUCAAGAAGGGGACCAAGUGCUACAACAUCCGGGCAAAUGACUUGGUUUGGAAGAAGUGCGAAAGGAAGGGUUACCUCGGUGAAAGCCGGACAGUCAAGCACGGAAGCCCAAUAGACAAAGUAUGUUAAGUUUUGGUUGACAUUUGAGAAGGCAAGAAAUUGUAGUUUUGCUGAAAGCACGCCCCCAUUCACAUCGACAGGGCUGCAGGGGAACGGGUCGAGUGCUUCAACUACCUCGGUGUCCGAAUCACUAAGGACUUAAAAUGGUCCACACCCACUCGCACAGUCGUAAAUAAGUCACGCCAGCGCCUCUUCCCCCCCUAAGGAGGUUGAAAAGGUUUGGCAUGCGCCCUCAAAUCCUCAAGUUCUACAGCUGUACCAUUGAGAGCAUCUUGACUGGCUGUAUCACUGCUUAUGACAAUAGCACCGCCCUCGAUCGCAUGGCGCUACAGAGGGUUGUCUGGACAGCCCAGUACAUCACUGGGGCCAAGCUCCCUGCCAUCCAGGACCUCUAUCAGGCUGUGUGAAAGAAAGGCCCGGGAAAUCGUUAAACUCCAACCACCCAAGCCAUAGACUGUUUGC